UUUCCCUUGUCAAGUGGCUUUGGAAAGAUCCCGUGCCUCUGCUGCACAAAUCUCUCCCUCCCUGCUGGCCCUCCUGUCCUCCCCAUUCUGGUACUUGCAGAAUCACCAAAUUCGCAGCUGUGGAACUCCCAAGUACUCCGUGCUCCCUCCUGCAGGCCAUCACAAGGGUGUGUCACUGUGUCCCCACGCCCACCCCUCUGAGCCGGCUCCUCAGGGUGCCCAUUGCCACUGUCCUCUCACCUGUGCUGCUUUCAGCUGCUCUCUGAGGUUCUGCCACCACCAAGAACUAGCACUUUCCAUUCCCAGUGCAGCUCAGAGGAUGCAAAACUCCCCAGCCAGUGUCUUUGUCUUUGGAGGAAGAGCACAGCUUUUUGUUCUGGAAACAAUAAGAACCACUCCACUGAUCCAUACCUGCUCUUCCUUUUGUUAUUCUUCAGUACCCGUCCUUCCCUUUGGAAACCUCGGAGCCAGGAGCCUCAUCAGCUGCUCUGUGCAAACACACUUUGCUUUGUUCUGCUGUCUGAACACAGAGCCAGAAGAGAGAGAGGCCUGCAGCUUCUGGUGGAUCAGCUGUUGCCAACACACGUGGCCCAGGUAGAGCCUGUGAUUUAUUUAAUAUGUACAGUUACAAUAAUGUCAUUUUGGAAUCAGUCUCAUGAGACAGAUAUGAACAAAAGGGUAACAUUUGGAGGAGGAGAAUUCCUGAUUUGUGCUCAGACAGAAGAAAUUCUCCUUCUCUGCUACCUUGGCAAUAACACAAUAAGGGAGGAAAACAAAAUCAUUCACAUUCCCAACUCCCUCCUCUUCAAUAGCACCAACAUAUAUUUUGAAGAGCCUCAGUGCAGGUUUUUACUGCAGAAAAUAAAGAAUGAAUUGUGUCCCCCCUGAACAGCAGCAAGAGAACAUCCUGACUGCCUCCAGCCUCAGCUGCUCACUUCCUGCUUGCUGAGCCUUCUGGCUUGACCAAGCCACAGCACAAACACAUUUGGCACCAGCCAACUCCUUCAUUGCUGAAGGACACAUCCAAGACCUCCACAUCUUGAACUCCAGCAGCUCCUGCAGUCCCUGCUUAGCUGGGGGCAGGGGGUGCUUGGCUGGACCGGGAUUGCUGGAACGUCCCUUCCCCAGCUCCCUGCACUGCCAAAGGCAGCCCGGGGCAGGCACAAGGAGCCAGAGCAGGCCGAGACAGCUUUUAACACAUUCAGAUAGUGCUACAGCCAGUUAUAGACUGUGAGAAAUGACUGCUCACUUUAAAAGUUUCAAAGGCUUAUUAAUCCAUUACAAAUACAACAAAGGACAGAAUAAGGAAAACCAGCAAUGCUGACAGCAUGACCGACUACCACAAACUCGGCCACAAAAUGGCUGCUCCGCCUUUUAAACCCCUGGAGGUGCAGCCAACCCUGGCCCCUCCCAAGCCUGUCAGUCAACUCUUCUCUGCCACCCAUUGGUGGAGAUCAUUUCUUGCAAGUUGAUUGGAGGUCAGGUGUUGCCAUGCCACGCCCCCCAGCAACAAGCCCAUUCGCACUUGGGCCUCACAGCCAGGGAGGGGAGGGGGCACUUUGGGGAGAGCAAACAGCGAACUGCAAUAUCGGAACCGUACAUCAACAAAACUUCUCAUAACGCACACGCGAUAGUCAUUCCUUAAUUGUGAGAGCCAAUCAUCGCAUUACCCAUCUAUAACACAGACCCAAAGGCCUCACAUAUGUUUUUCUCCUGCAGGAGAAGCCAAAGCCCCUGGGUGUCAUUAGCAAGUGGCUGCAGGGCUGAGGGACAGCUCAGGGGCUGCGUGUGAGCUGCUGCUCCCAGAUCUCUCCUUCCCUCAGCAGGAGCUGGCUCUGACCAAAAGUCUCCACUCCUUGAAGCCAGGAAGCUGUGUCCUUGGGUGAGGAGGAUCAGGAAAGGACAAGGUGGGGAAAAAUACGAGCGGUGAGCUCAACACCAAGUGUGUGAUUUCCACAGAGGCCCCUCAGAUGCUUCCAAUCCUGGUGGUUUUUGGAGGGAGGGCAUCAUUUUGAGUAUUGAUUCAAAUGACCUCCACCAUUAAUCUUUGCAAGGGAUUUUUUUUUAUUCCUCCAAGAGAACAGGCAAUUUUAGCCACCGCAUCAUCCUGGGGGGAGAGGGACGUGGACAGCUUUGAAGGCACCCAGCUCAAAGCCCGAGUUAUUCUCCUUGCUUUUCCCUCACCACCUCAGCAGCAAGAACACAUAAAUUGUGUGUCAUAGCUGCCUUUUCAUCUGUCCCAGGAGUUAUAGACUGCACACAUAAGACAAUUCGUGUUCCUCUGCAUAAUGAGGUGCCGAGAGCGAUGCCCCAAAGAGUCCCCACUAGUGGCUUCUCUCCAGUUUCACAAUACCAUCAGAAAUCCAUUACCAAAUGCAUAAAAACCCAUGGAUUUUUAAUAAAAUGAGCCCCCUAAAGCUCAGAAAACAGCCUGGAUGUCUCCAUAAAUCCUGAUGCAUGUGAUUAAAGAAAACAGAGCAAGAGCAUGCCUCAAUUCAUCACAGGGUCAUUUUGGACAUCCACUAUU
Vidua macroura (Pin-tailed whydah) is the source of this 2527-nucleotide long non-coding RNA. RefSeq lists it as uncharacterized. The record is from RefSeq and is a predicted model, not a curated record. The transcript has 3 exons. NCBI's taxonomy places the organism in Eukaryota, Metazoa, Chordata, Aves, Passeriformes, Viduidae.